UACAUGGCACAUGGUACCUAAGCCCAGUAACCGUGAGGGUCAGGAGGAAGCCAUUUCCUGGGAACGCCUGGAGUCUGGGACCACCGUGACCAUCCGUGACUGCACAGCUGACAAGACACAAGAAGAGAGGAGACAAGAAGUGACUUAGCUUCUUCUCCACUAAGAGAAGCCAACAGUGAAGAAGCAAUACUUGAGAAAACAUGGGGAGGUGGGAGGAAAUUGUUUCACUUUGCUUUUGUUUCUGACUAUCCGAACCUAUUUUGGAUCAAAUUAAAUUAAUUUUCCCCAGG
Molecule: long non-coding RNA, 290 nt
Filed under: Zonotrichia albicollis (white-throated sparrow)
Lineage: Eukaryota; Metazoa; Chordata; Aves; Passeriformes; Passerellidae
Description: lncRNA (ENSZALG00000006989.1)
Source: RNAcentral